UACAGAGGUCUCAAGCGUUGUUCGGAUUCAUUGGGCGUAAAGGGUGCGUAGGCGGCGCGGUAAGUCGGGUGUGAAAUCUUGGAGCUUAACUCCGAAACUGCAUUCGAUACUGCCGUGCUUGAGGACUGGAGAGGAGACUGGAAUUUACGGUGUAGCGGUUAAAUGCGUAGAUAUCGUAAGGAAGACCAGUGGCGAAGGCGGGUCUCUGGGCAGUUCCUGACGCUGAGCCACGAAGGCCAGGGGAGCAAACGGG
Molecule: ribosomal RNA, 253 nt
Filed under: uncultured bacterium
Lineage: Bacteria
Description: partial 16S ribosomal RNA
Rfam family: Bacterial small subunit ribosomal RNA
Source: RNAcentral